This 1005-nucleotide ribosomal RNA is filed under the name Fratercula cirrhata. RNAcentral describes it as "partial 16S ribosomal RNA". It matches the Rfam family "Bacterial large subunit ribosomal RNA", at positions 862 to 2564 of the family's 2925-position model. Lineage: Eukaryota; Metazoa; Chordata; Aves; Charadriiformes; Alcidae. The record is from RNAcentral.
GAAAUGAAUCUCAGUUCCUYCUUGACCUCCCUCCCCGGACRCAACUUUAACCUUUAUGUAGAAGGUCAAGAGUAAUUUAAAGGAGGUACAGCUCCUUUAAAAAAGGAUACAACCUUCACUAGCGGCUAUACCACCUAACUUCUUCCCAUUACUGUAGGCCUUCAAGCAGCCAUCAAUAAAGAGUGCGUCAAAGCUCUACGCAUAAAAUCCAACAAUAACAUGAUUCCCUUCCCACUAACAGGCCAACCUAUCCCAAUAGGAGUAUUAAUGCUAAAAUGAGUAACUAGGGGUUCACCCUCCACAAGCGCAAGCUUACAUCCUCGUAUUAUUAACAGAUAACAAACCAAUACCUCAAUUAUAACAAGACUACCAUAUUAAACCCACCCUGUUACACCAACCAAGGAGCGCCCACUAGAAAGAUUAAAAUCUGUAAAAGGAACUAGGCAAACCUAAGGCCCGACUGUUUACCAAAAACAUAGCCUUCAGCCCACCAAGUAUUGAAGGUGAUGCCUGCCCAGUGACAUAACGUUCAACGGCCGCGGUAUCCUAACCGUGCGAAGGUAGCGCAAUCAAUUGUCCCAUAAAUCGAGACUUGUAUGAAUGGCUAAACGAGGUCUUAACUGUCUCUUACAGAUAAUCAGUGAAAUUGAUCUUCCUGUGCAAAAGCAGGAAUACUAACAUAAGACGAGAAGACCCUGUGGAACUUAAAAAUCAGCGGCCACUACACACAAACUCAAACCUACUAGGCCUCCUUCCUCCCCAAAUACUGGCCCGCAUUUUUCGGUUGGGGCGACCUUGGAGAAAAACAGAUCCUCCAAAAAUAAGACCAUACCUCUUAACCAAGAACAACUCCUCAACGUACUAACAGUAACCAGACCCAAUACAAUUGAUUAAUGGACCAAGCUACCCCAGGGAUAACAGCGCAAUCUCCUCUAAGAGCCCGCAUCGACGAGGAGGUUUACGACCUCGAUGUUGGAUCAGGACAUCCUAAUGGUGCAGCCGCUA